GAUGAACGCUGGCGGCGUGCCUAAUACAUGCAAGUCGAGCGAACAGAUGAGGAGCUUGCUCCUCUGACGUUAGCGGCGGACGGGUGAGUAACACGUGGAUAACCUACCUAUAAGACUGGGAUAACUUCGGGAAACCGGAGCUAAUACCGGAUAAUAUAUUGAACCGCAUGGUUCAAUAGUGAAAGACGGUUUUGCUGUCACUUAUAGAUGGAUCCGCGCCGCAUUAGCUAGUUGGUAAGGUAACGGCUUACCAAGGCAACGAUGCGUAGCCGACCUGAGAGGGUGAUCGGCCACACUGGAACUGAGACACGGUCCAGACUCCUACGGGAGGCAGCAGUAGGGAAUCUUCCGCAAUGGGCGAAAGCUUGACGGAGCAACGCCGCGUGAGUGAUGAAGGUCUUCGGAUCGUAAAACUCUGUUAUUAGGGAAGAACAAAUGUGUAGGUAACUAUGCACGUCUUGACGGUACCUAAUCAGAAAGCCACGGCUAACUACGUG
RNAcentral lists this ribosomal RNA (497 nucleotides) under uncultured bacterium. Its description in RNAcentral is "partial 16S ribosomal RNA". It matches the Rfam family "Bacterial small subunit ribosomal RNA", at positions 28 to 507 of the family's 1533-position model. The record is from RNAcentral.